GCGCGAGUGGCGGAAUUGGUAGACGCCCCAGAUUUAGGUUCUGGUGCCUUCGGGCGUGAGGGUUCGAGUCCCUUCUCGCGCA
RNAcentral lists this transfer RNA (82 nucleotides) under Actinomyces sp. RNAcentral describes it as "tRNA-Leu(tag)". It matches the Rfam family "tRNA". Rfam says of the family: Transfer RNA (tRNA) molecules are approximately 80 nucleotides in length. Their secondary structure includes four short double-helical elements and three loops (D, anti-codon, and T loops). The record is from RNAcentral. Lineage: Bacteria; Bacillati; Actinomycetota; Actinomycetes; Actinomycetales; Actinomycetaceae. RNAcentral also lists the same sequence under 2 other names.